RNAcentral lists this long non-coding RNA (695 nucleotides) under Homo sapiens (human). RNAcentral's name for it is "HSALNT0110168". Lineage: Eukaryota; Metazoa; Chordata; Mammalia; Primates; Hominidae. The record is from RNAcentral.
UUUGCUUUUAAUUUGAAUUUUCUUGAACUUUAACAAUGGUAUGAUAAAAUUCAGGCCAAGAGAAGCAAAGACAGCAAAGACUGACAUAAAAAAGAAACAACAAAAACAACUCUUGUUAAUGAUGUAGAAUUAAUCUGAAUUCUCCAAAAACCUGCCUCUUUUGGAGAUAGUGGUCUUGCAUUCCCUGAUGCUGAGAGACUGAGUCUAUAUAUUGAAGACUUCAUUUCACCAGCAGGUGCAAAUGUUCUACAUUUCAAAGCCAUCUGUGUUUUUUAAGUGAUUGAGGCCAAGAGUAAUCCAUAUUUAGUUGUUUUGACCAUUUAAACUAAGGUUUAUGUUAUUCUUUGACUUUAUCAAUGUACUAAUGUACAUAUUUUAUAUGCUGUACCAUGUAUAUCUGUGAAUAAAAAAAAAUACAUGUCACUGUCGUUCAAUUGUUUUUCUUUCAUUACUGCCCCCACCCAAAGGAAAUUUUUAGAUUUUUUUGAUUACUAUCACUGCUAGGUGACUUUUUAGGAUUUGGUUUUAUUAAAUACUAACACAUUUCAUUAAAUUUUAGUACCACAGAGAUGCUGUAUAUCUAUUUAUGUACUGUGGUCAUUUUGGAACAACAAAUUAUUAUCUAUCAUUUUUCCACUCCCCCAAAAGAAUCAAUGUUUACCCCCUUGUGGAUAAAUUAGAGGUUAAAAUAUCAU